This 256-nucleotide ribosomal RNA is filed under the name uncultured archaeon. Its description in RNAcentral is "partial 16S ribosomal RNA". It matches the Rfam family "Bacterial small subunit ribosomal RNA", at positions 521 to 776 of the family's 1533-position model. The record is from RNAcentral.
UAAUACGGAGGGUGCAAGCGUUGUCCGGAAUCAUUGGGUGUAAAGGGUGCGCAGGCGGACUGCUAAGUCUGGGGUGAAAGGCCACGGCUCAACCGUGGAAGGUCCCUGGAUACUGGCGGUCUUGAAUAUGAGACAGGCCGGUGGAAUUCGAGGUGUAGCGGUGAAAUGCAUAGAUAUCUCGAAGAACACCAGUGGUGAAGACGGCCGGCUGGAUCAUCAUUGACGCUCAGGCACGAGAGCGUGGGGAGCAAACAGG